This 501-nucleotide ribosomal RNA is filed under the name uncultured bacterium. Its description in RNAcentral is "bacterial SSU rRNA". It matches the Rfam family "Bacterial small subunit ribosomal RNA", at positions 30 to 524 of the family's 1533-position model. The record is from RNAcentral.
AUUGAACGCUGGCGGAAUGCUUUACACAUGCAAGUCGAACGGCAGCACGGGGCAACCUGGUGGCGAGUGGCGAACGGGUGAGUAAUACAUCGGAACGUGCCCAAUCGUGGGGGAUAACGUAGCGAAAGUUACGCUAAUACCGCAUACGAUCUACGGAUGAAAGCGGGGGAUCGCAAGACCUCGCGCGAAUGGAGCGGCCGAUGUCAGAUUAGGUAGUUGGUGGGGUAAAGGCUCACCAAGCCAACGAUCUGUAGCUGGUCUGAGAGGACGACCAGCCACACUGGAACUGAGACACGGUCCAGACUCCUACGGGAGGCAGCAGUGGGGAAUUUUGGACAAUGGGCGCAAGCCUGAUCCAGCCAUUCCGCGUGCAGGAUGAAGGCCUUCGGGUUGUAAACUGCUUUGUACGGUAACGAAACGGCGAGCUCUAAUACAGUUUGCUAAUGACGGUACCGUAAGAAUAAGACACCGGCUAACUACGUAGCCAGCAGCCGCGGUAAU